This 434-nucleotide ribosomal RNA is filed under the name uncultured Clostridium sp. RNAcentral describes it as "partial 16S ribosomal RNA". It matches the Rfam family "Bacterial small subunit ribosomal RNA", at positions 341 to 792 of the family's 1533-position model. The record is from RNAcentral. RNAcentral also lists the same sequence under 1 other name. Lineage: Bacteria; Bacillati; Bacillota; Clostridia; Eubacteriales; Clostridiaceae.
ACGGGAGGCAGCAGUGAGGAAUAUUGCACAAUGGGGGAAACCCUGAUGCAGCGACGCCGCGUGAGUGAAGAAGUAUUUCGGUAUGUAAAGCUCUAUCAGCAGGGAAGAAAAUGACGGUACCUGACUAAGAAGCCCCGGCUAACUACGUGCCAGCAGCCGCGGUAAUACGUAGGGGGCAAGCGUUAUCCGGAUUUACUGGGUGUAAAGGGAGCGUAGAUGGCAUGGCAAGUCUGAAGUGAAAGCUCGGGGCUCAACCCCGGAACUGCUUUGGAAACUGUCAAGCUAGAGUAUCGGAGAGGUAAGCGGAAUUCCUAGUGUAGCGGUGAAAUGCGUAGAUAUUAGGAGGAACACCAGUGGCGAAGGCGGCUUGCUGGACGAUAACUGACAUUGAGGCUCGAAAGCGUGGGGAGCAAACAGGAUUAGAUACCCUGGUA